AAGCUCGUAGUUGAAUUUCGGAAUCAAUGGAUUGGUCAUGCCGAUGGUGUGUACUGGUCAUAUUGGUUCUCACCUUCUAAGGAACCAUAAUGUCAUUUAUUUGAUGUUGUGGGGAAUUAGGACUGUUACCUUGAAAAAAUUAGAGUGUUUAAAGGAGGCUAACGCUUGAAUACAUUAGCAUGGAAUAAUGAAAUAGGACAUCGCAUUCGAUUUUGUUGGUUUGUAGGAUCGAUGUAAUGAUUAAUAGGGAUAGGUGGGGGCGCGAGUCGUUCUUAUAGUCAGAGGUGAAAUUCUUGGAUUUAUUGAAGACUAACUACUGCGAAAGCAUUUGCCAAGGAUGUUUUCAUUAAUCAAGAACGAAAGUUAGGGGAUCGAAGACGACCAUAUACCGUCGUAGUCUUAACAAUAAACUAUGCCGACUAGGGAUCGGAUGAUGUUGAUUUUUUAAUGACUCAUUCGGCACCUUACGGGAAACCAAAGUGUUUGGGUUCCGGGGGGAGUAUGGUCGCAAGGCUGAAACUUAAAGGAAUUGACGGAAGGGCACCACCAGGCGUGGAGCCUGCGGCUUAAUUUGACUCAACACGGGGAAA
This 590-nucleotide ribosomal RNA is filed under the name uncultured Glomus. RNAcentral describes it as "bacterial SSU rRNA". It matches the Rfam family "Eukaryotic small subunit ribosomal RNA", at positions 624 to 1213 of the family's 1831-position model. The record is from RNAcentral. Lineage: Eukaryota; Fungi; Glomeromycota; Glomeromycetes; Glomerales; Glomeraceae.